CUUGCUUCUCUUGAGAGCGGCGGACGGGUGAGUAAUGCCUAGGAAUCUGCCUGGUAGUGGGGGAUAACGUCCGGAAACGGACGCUAAUACCGCAUACGUCCUACGGGAGAAAGCAGGGGACCUUCGGGCCUUGCGCUAUCAGAUGAGCCUAGGUCGGAUUAGCUAGUUGGUGGGGUAAUGGCUCACCAAGGCGACGAUCCGUAACUGGUCUGAGAGGAUGAUCAGUCACACUGGAACUGAGACACGGUCCAGACUCCUACGGGAGGCAGCAGUGGGGAAUAUUGGACAAUGGGCGAAAGCCUGAUCCAGCCAUGCCGCGUGUGUGAAGAAGGUCUUCGGAUUGUAAAGCACUUUAAGUUGGGAGGAAGGGCAGUAAAUUAAUACUUUGCUGUUUUGACGUUACCGACAGAAUAAGCACCGGCUAACUCUGUGCCAGCAGCCGCGGUAAUACAGAGGGUGCAAGCGUUAAUCGGAAUUACUGGGCGUAAAGCGCGCGUAGGUGGUUCGUUAAGUUGGAUGUGAAAUCCCCGGGCUCAACCUGGGAACUGCAUUCAAAACUGACGAGCUAGAGUAUGGUAGAGGGUGGUGGAAUUUCCUGUGUAGCGGUGAAAUGCGUAGAUAUAGGAAGGAACACCAGUGGCGAAGGCGACCACCUGGACUGAUACUGACACUGAGUGCGAAAGCGUGGGGAGCAAACAGGAUUAGAUACCCUGGUAGUCCACGCCGUAAACGAUGUCAACUAGCCGUUGGGAGCCUUGAGCUCUUA
RNAcentral lists this ribosomal RNA (766 nucleotides) under uncultured bacterium. RNAcentral's name for it is "bacterial SSU rRNA". It matches the Rfam family "Bacterial small subunit ribosomal RNA", at positions 79 to 842 of the family's 1533-position model. The record is from RNAcentral.